CCAAUAUUUCCUAUUUCCACCUCUCUUCUUACAGUUAGACGGCAUGUACCACGUCAUUAGCUCAGAUAUUAGUUAUGUAUCUCAUGUGUAAGUCAUGAAAAUCACAUAUGGUACCUCAUUGCCUAUAUUGAGACAAGGAGCUGUUGGUGGUGGUGGCGGUUUACGAACCUUACCUGGCCAUCCCCUACCUGUCUGGUGGUUACCUGACAAGAUAUUGUUAGUACUGAAUUACAUGUUUCCUAUUAAAGCAGAUAAGACUUUAUUUUCCUUCUAAGUAUCCAUGUAUACGUCAUUGUUAGAAAGUACGUCAUUACCGCCCUAGUUGUUUAUUUAUUUAUUUAUUAUUUUUAAUGUGUCAGGAGGUGGUUGUACAUGGAAGUCAGGUAUGUUUGGGUGAAAAGGAUAAUCGAGACUGUAAUAACUUAUAUGAUAAUCACAAAGAAAUAUUGUAUGUUGCCAGUCAGUGGGAUGGCUGUAAUUCUGUAAAUUUACCCCAGGUUAUUUGUCCUGGUGGAAGAAGGCAGUGACCCCCCCCCACAUACAUACGUACAAUGACAGUCUUAGGCCAUGUUGACAAAUCUAAAUGACAUGUGUUAGUGGUUUAUCAAGAUAGUUAAGACAAGAGUUCAGCAAAUCAUGGUAAUUAGGUAUGCAGGCUAAGACAAAAAAAAAGGAUAUUUCUUUAUGAAAGGUAAUUGAAUAGAUAGAAAAUGGAAGGCAUCAAUAUAUCUUUUUUUUACCAUAACUAAACCACUAAAUGUAAUUAUAUCUGUAAAUGUUGUAGACAAACAUGCAAGGUUUCUAUCAUAUUUUUCUUUUCAUAUAAAUAACAUACCAUGAUUUCAGAGCAAUAGUGUACACCACUCACAUAAACUAAAACUCCCCUUAAGGACACAAACCUAACCUGACCUGACCUAACCAUACACCUUAAUAGGAAGUGGAACCUCCAGGAUGUGGUCAGCCUCCUCUUCCCUAUCUUCUAAGGGUGCUGGCACCACUGAUUGUUCAGCACAAGGUCAGCUUUAGCAAAACACUGUGCGAUCUUAAGUAAUUACACCCAAGGUGUCUUGCUCAUGGAAUUGCACAAUGAAAUCCCAGUACUUAAAUUUGUAUCUACUGCGCGUGUCUGCCAUUGUGACGCUGAGUAUCCUUGUGGGUAGCCACCUGACUGCCAUUGCUAUGUAUAUGCGUAGAGUUUGGCUGAAAAUAAUUGACGUAUUGGCCAGAAGUAAAUCAUGUUCAAUGAUGUUCUAAUGUAUCAUUAAAAAAGACAGCCCUCCUCGGCUGAACUAAAAGUACAAGGCAGUAUGCACCAUUCCAUACCGGAAACCGACAUACUAACCCACGCUCUACCAAAUGAGCCAGUGCAGGGUUGAGAAAGUAGCGCAGAGUUCACUGGACUUGGAAAAAAUCCAAGACACGGCAUAUUCUUGCAGCCAUUACAGCCAUAUGAGACUCAAGAAAGGUUAUUACAUUUAGGGCAAGGGCACAGUGUGUUGUACAUAAUAUGUAAGUUUUGUUAUUGCACAUGACACAGACUUAUUACAAAGAGUAACCAAAAGGGGAAUCCAGAUCCACAGGUAUGUCAGAAUGGCUCUGUUGCAACUAUUGUUGGUUUACGGGAGUCUGAACCAAACAAGGCGCUCAAGCUUCUAUGAGUUUGAGCGCUGAUUGGCUUCUGUCAUAUAUUCUUAAGUCUGAAAUUUUAUUGUUUUAGUGUGUUUUCUAUUGAUUUUGCAGUUAGAGCAUUUCAUCUUAUCAUAAAUACUGAAAAGCAACAGUAAUCACAAUAUUCAAGCCUGUCAUAAGGAGUGAAGUAUUGGUAGAAGCAGAGUGGCUGACAUUGCCAUUUAGUACACAAGUUAAACAACACCAUACAUAUGUUGGUACACACUAUCUUCUGAGUGCAGUGGUAUUAUUAUUGUUUGUGACUAUUAUUAUACACUAGCUUAAGAGUAACCCAAGGGAGGUAGGGAGGGAGUGUGUACCCAUGCGGUGAAUAUGCAGUGAUAGUGCUACCUGACUUCUGUACUUGAUGCAUUCACUGUACAGUGCAUUCACUGAUAUAUUCCUUUGCUUCUUGUGAUAGGCCUCAAUGCUGUGAUUAGUAUUGGUGAUGAGAUAUCAGGCACUCUUGAGGGGUGACUUCAUUCUCUAAUAGUUCGGCAAAAUUUAAUUUAAUGGACAAAAUGUACAAAAAUAUUUAGUUCCUAUUUUCUCAUGUCUUUGUGUAUGUCUGCCCACAAUUAAGCAAGUAUAGUGUCUCUCUCUCUCUCUCUCUCUCUCUCUCUCUCUCUCUCUCUCUCUCUCUCUCUCUCUCUCUCUCUCUCUCUCUCUCUCUCUCUCUCUCUCUCUCUCUCUCUCUCUCUCUCUCUCUCUCUCUCUCUCUCUCUCUCUCUCUCUCUCUCUCUCUCUCUCUCUCUCUCUCUCUCUCUCUCUCUCUCUCUCUCUCUAUCUCUCUCUCAUUCAGUUGUAUAAAAACUUAGCAGGGAGAUAUGGCCCCUUUCUAUUAGAGCAUGCUAGUACUCUAGGAAAUAUUUAUAAAGCUUAGUAACUCUCUUUGACCAAUUUAAAACGAGUUUACACACAGCUGAAUGUAUGAAUUCUUUUAAUAGAUUAAUAAUUUUGUGUUCUGUCAUGUCAAUGAACUUAUUUCUUAAAAGUUACUUAUGGUAAUUAUUUAUUUUCAUUUAAGUUAAAGUUAGUUGUUAGUACAUUAAACAUUUGACAGUGUGGAAGCAUUUAUGUAGAUUCCACAUAGAAAAGUAGUCAUUAUUCUUUUCUAGCAAUGAAAAAAAAAGAGAAUACUUUGAAUUGGUGUCCUGCACAACACAGAAGAUUGGGCAUGGAUGUUUCAUAGCUCACCUUCUUGUGUCCCUCUUAGUGAUGUGGAAGGGCUGUCCUGCACUCCUCUGUCUGAGUAGAACAUUUCUGUCUUAGAUGAAUGUAGUUCUUUAGUAGUGGGUAAGUGUUGGUUGCUGGUGCACUGGCAGUAGAAGAUUCCAUUAAUUUUGAGGUAAGAUGAAUAAAUGAACAACUGAACUCAUUCAUAUAUUUUAUGCACUAGCAAGGCCCUUUUGAUCUGAAAACAGUAUCUUGCUUAAGGAGAAUUCAUGUACACUGCUCUGCAGUGUUAGUGGUUUCACCAUUUUCAGAUUCAUAUAUUCAUAAAUUUUUCCCAUGGUAUUAAGACAGCCUUAAAAUUAUUUUCACUCAUUACAAGCAUUCACAGGCCAUUAUAAAAAGUAAGAAAUCAGUCAUCAACUUUACUGUUAAACUGUGCUGUGAUUUACAUAAACUUGUAACACUUAACCAUUUAAAUUGGUUUACUGUUAUAGUAGAUCUGGACUAACUUGGUACAUGGGGUGUUGGCUGUACCUGUCAACACUGUUGCUACAAGUGUCCAUGAAUGAAUGACCUUAACUGGGCCAGCAGCAGGCCAGCUAAAAGUCAUCAUAUAUACUCAGGGCAGCUUGUCUGGCAGCCUUUUCGGGCCAAACUGAGUGUGCGGGGGUUGGGUCAGUAUCUGGUUUGGGGCAGAAAGAGGCUGCUGUUCAGCAGCCUGAACGGAUCUGUCACUGCUUGAUUUUUCAGGCCGGGCCAGGGUCAGGUCAGGAGCGUCAGUUUGGAGUGGAGUGGCCAUCCUGCCAGCCUGCUGCAACGGUAUCUAGGCAGAAAUGAGUGCAGGCCUUCAGGCCACCUGAAUCGUGUAUGGCUGCUAUUUUGUUUUUGUGAGGCUGGCUUGUUCAGACUACCAGACAGGUCAGCCUGAGUGUGUAUACCAGCCUUAGGCUGGGAGCAGAUGAGCAACUUUGUGUCCACGAUGCUGUGUCGCUACACUGAAUUGUGUUUAGGCAACUGUGUCUUGACUGACCAACACCAUGAGUCGCCCAUGUGUAUGGAAAGAGCAACACCAGUGCAUCAUGCGUUGUUUUUUCCUGCAGAAUCUGAAGCUGGACAGGAAGAUGUCACACAUCUCCCAUGCCUUGGCUUUUGCUGUCUUAUUGUUGCUGUCAUUGCAGUGUACAUCCCAUAUCAAUGGUCAUUCUUCAAUUUCAGUAAUGAAGGGAUCUAUGUCGAGUGUAGACAUGGUAUAAUAAAGGUGAAGUAAAGAGAAAAA
This is a long non-coding RNA of Scylla paramamosain (green mud crab), 4120 nucleotides long. RefSeq lists it as uncharacterized. The record is from RefSeq and is a predicted model, not a curated record. The transcript is spliced from 2 exons. NCBI's taxonomy places the organism in Eukaryota, Metazoa, Arthropoda, Malacostraca, Decapoda, Portunidae.